UACGGAGGGGGCAAGCGUUGUUCGGAGUUACUGGGCGUAAAGCGCGCGUAGGCGGUGCGGUAAGUCAGGGGUUAAAGGCUGCAGCUCAACUGCAGUAAGGCCUUUGAUACUAUCGCGCUAGAGUACCAGAGAGGAUGGCGGAAUUCCCGGUGUAGCGGUGAAAUGCGUAGAUAUCAGGAGGAACACCGGUGGCGAAGGCGGUCAUCUGGCCCACUAUUGACGCUGAGGCACGAAAGCGUGGGGAGCAAACAGG
This 253-nucleotide ribosomal RNA is filed under the name uncultured microorganism. Its description in RNAcentral is "partial 16S ribosomal RNA". It matches the Rfam family "Bacterial small subunit ribosomal RNA", at positions 524 to 776 of the family's 1533-position model. The record is from RNAcentral.